This 367-nucleotide ribosomal RNA is filed under the name uncultured organism. RNAcentral describes it as "partial 16S ribosomal RNA". It matches the Rfam family "Bacterial small subunit ribosomal RNA", at positions 527 to 896 of the family's 1533-position model. The record is from RNAcentral.
GGAGGUGGCGAGCGUUACUCGGAAUCAUUGGGUGUAAAGGGCAAGUAGGCGGCCUGAUAAGUGAGGGGUGAAAUCUUCCGGCUCAAUCGGAAAAUUGCCUUUCAAACUAUCAGACUUGAGGCUGUGAGAGGGAAAUGGAAUUCGCGGUGUAAGGGUGAAAUCUGUAGAGAUCGCGAAGAACACCGGCGGCGAAGGCGGUUUCCUGGCGCAGUCCUGACGCUCAAUUGCGAAAGCUAGGGGAGCAAACAGAAUUAGAUACUCUGGUAGUCCUAGCCGUAAACGAUGAGCACUAGGUGUCGGUCCGUUCAGGAUCGGUGCCGCAGCUAACGCAUUAAGUGCUCCACCUGGGACUACGGCCGCAAGGUUA